GGGGGAAUUCCCGAGAGGCCAAAGGGGACAGACUGUAAAUCUGCUAGCACUGCUUUCGGUGGUUCGAAUCCACCUUCCCCCACUA
This 85-nucleotide transfer RNA is filed under the name Lachnoanaerobaculum saburreum. RNAcentral describes it as "tRNA-Tyr". It matches the Rfam family "tRNA". From Rfam's summary of the family: Transfer RNA (tRNA) molecules are approximately 80 nucleotides in length. The record is from RNAcentral. RNAcentral also lists the same sequence under 1 other name. Lineage: Bacteria; Bacillati; Bacillota; Clostridia; Lachnospirales; Lachnospiraceae.